RNAcentral lists this unclassified non-coding RNA (392 nucleotides) under Hevea brasiliensis (rubber tree). Lineage: Eukaryota; Viridiplantae; Streptophyta; Magnoliopsida; Malpighiales; Euphorbiaceae. The record is from RNAcentral.
GAAAAAUCACAGUGAGCCAUUACCUAAAUUAACAUAGGAUAUACACCAAGUGAAAGAUUGUAACAGUAUUAAUUAUCCUAAUAAUGUUAACAAUAAUAUCUGCUUACAGCAUAUAGAAAGGGUGACCUUAGAUCUAAGGUGGUCAUGCCAGUUGCCGAGAAUUGCCGGCCAAAUAGAUACACAUAUCUCAAAAACCCCCAAAAAAUAUUGGAGAAAUAUAGAAACAAAACAACAGAUUUACAUCAUCCAAUGAACUGAAAUGUGAUGCAGCUCCCAUCCUACGUCCACCAUCAUCCACUCUUCAUCAUUUUAUAUGCCAAUUCUCCUUUACCUUCACUGUUAAUUACAAAUCCGACUGCCAUAGCCCAAAACAAUCAUACUCAAGUCAUUUU